UACGUAGGGCGCAAGCGUUAUCCGGAAUUAUUGGGCGUAAAGAGCUCGUAGGCGGUUUGUCGCGUCUGCUGUGAAAACUGGAGGCUCAACCUCCAGCCUGCAGUGGGUACGGGCAGACUAGAGUGCGGUAGGGGAGAUUGGAAUUCCUGGUGUAGCGGUGAAAUGCGCAGAUAUCAGGAGGAACACCGGUGGCGAAGGCGGGUCUCUGGGCCGAUGACUGACGUGGAGGAGCGAAAGCGUGGGGAGCGAACAGG
This 254-nucleotide ribosomal RNA is filed under the name uncultured bacterium. Its description in RNAcentral is "partial 16S ribosomal RNA". It matches the Rfam family "Bacterial small subunit ribosomal RNA", at positions 524 to 776 of the family's 1533-position model. The record is from RNAcentral.